AGGGCAAGUCUGGUGCCAGCAGCCGCGGUAAUUCCAGCUCCAAUAGCGUAUAUUAAAGUUGUUGCAGUUAAAAAGCUCGUAGUUGAAUUUCGGGGUCAGCAGGUCGGUCGUGCCAAUGGUAUGCACUGGCCUUGCUGAUUCCUCCCUCUUGAUGAGCCGUAAUGCCAUUAAUUUGGUGUUGCGGGGAAUCAGGACUGUUACUUUGAAAAAAUUAGAGUGUUUAAAGCAGGCAAGCGCUUGAAUACAUUAGCAUGGAAUAAUGAAAUAGGACGUUUGAUCCUAUUUUGUUGGUUUCUAGGAUUGACGUAAUGAUUAAUAGGGAUAGUUGGGGGCAUUAGUAUUCAAUUGUCAGAGGUGAAAUUCUUGGAUUUAUUGAAGACUAACUACUGCGAAAGCAUUUGCCAAGGAUGUUUUCAUUAAUCAAGAACGAAAGUUAGGGAAUCGAAGACGAUCAGAUACCGUCGUAGUCUUAACCAUAAACUAUGCCGACUAGGGAUCGGAUGAUGUUAAUUUUUUAAUGACUCAUUCGGCGCCUUACGGGAA
Molecule: ribosomal RNA, 543 nt
Filed under: uncultured Glomeromycotina
Lineage: Eukaryota; Fungi; Glomeromycota
Description: SSU rRNA
Rfam family: Eukaryotic small subunit ribosomal RNA
Source: RNAcentral